CCUACGGGAGGCAGCAGUGGGGAAUAUUGGGCAAUGGGCGCAAGCCUGUACCAGCAAAGCCGCGUGAAGGAAGAUGGCCUUAGGGUUGGAAACUCCUUUUGUCAGGGAAGAGUAGAAGACGAUACCUGACGAAUAAGCCACGGCUAACGACGUGCCAGCAGCCGCGGUCAUUGGUAGGUGGCAAGCGUUGUCCGGAUUGACUGGGUGUAAAGGGCGUGUGGCCGGGUUGACAAGUCAGAUGUGAAAUCCUGCGGCUUAACCGCAGAACUGCAUUUGAAACUGUUGAUAUUGAGUACUGGGGAGGCAGAUGGAAUGCCUAGUGUAGCGGUGAAAUGCGUAGAUAUUAGGAUGAACACCAGUGGCGAAGGCGGUCUGCUGGACAGCAACUGACGGUGAGGCGCGAAAGCGUGGGUAGCAAACAGGAUUAGAUACCCUUGUAGUC
This 442-nucleotide ribosomal RNA is filed under the name uncultured bacterium. RNAcentral describes it as "partial 16S ribosomal RNA". It matches the Rfam family "Bacterial small subunit ribosomal RNA", at positions 338 to 795 of the family's 1533-position model. The record is from RNAcentral.